UGAGCAAUCUGCCCUUCUCAUCGGAAUAAGCGUUGGAAACGACGUCUAAUGCCGAAUACGACCUCCUUUCGCAUGAUCGGAGGUGGAAAGCUCCGGCGGAGAAGGAUGAGCUCGCGGCCUAUCAGCUAGUUGGUGUGGGUAAUGGCCCACCAAGGCGACGACGGGUAGCCGGCCUGAGAGGGUGACCCGGCCACACGUGGGACUGAGGCACGGCNGACGCCUCCCGGGUAAGGGCGACG
Molecule: ribosomal RNA, 239 nt
Filed under: uncultured bacterium
Lineage: Bacteria
Description: partial 16S ribosomal RNA
Rfam family: Bacterial small subunit ribosomal RNA
Source: RNAcentral